CCUACGGGAGGCAGCAGUGAGGAAUAUUGGACAAUGGGCGCAAGCCUGAUCCAGCCAUGCCGCGUGCAGGAAGAAGCAUCUAUGGUGUGUAAACUGCUUUUGUACAGGAAGAAACACUCCCUCGUGAGGGAGCUUGACGGUACUGUAAGAAUAAGGACCGGCUAACUCCGUGCCAGCAGCCGCGGUAAUACGGAGGGUCCGAGCGUUAUCCGGAAUCAUUGGGUUUAAAGGGUCCGUAGGCGGUUUAAUAAGUCAGUGGUGAAAUCUGGUCGCUCAACGAUCAAACGGCCAUUGAUACUGUUAGACUUGAAUUAUAAGGAAGUAACUAGAAUAUGUAGUGUAGCGGUGAAAUGCUUAGAUAUUACAUGGAAUACCAAUUGCGAAGGCAGGUUACUACUUAUGGAUUGACGCUGAUGGACGAAAGCGUGGGGAGCGAACAGGAUUAGAUACCCUGGUAGUCCACGCCGUAAACGAUGGAUACUAGCUGUUCGGAGCAAUCUGNGUGNGUAGACGAAGUAGANAGUAUACCACCGUCGGUAGGUACGUUCGCGAGAAGAGAACGACGAAAGAAGUAGUACGGACGUGAGACGUAGACGACGGACGACGACGAGGGGAGGAGG
Molecule: ribosomal RNA, 620 nt
Filed under: uncultured bacterium
Lineage: Bacteria
Description: bacterial SSU rRNA
Rfam family: Bacterial small subunit ribosomal RNA (bases 1-532)
Source: RNAcentral